This 371-nucleotide transfer-messenger RNA is filed under the name Nocardioidaceae. RNAcentral describes it as "Aeromicrobium sp012513165 Standard tmRNA". It matches the Rfam family "transfer-messenger RNA". Rfam says of the family: Bacterial tmRNA, also known as 10Sa RNA or SsrA, is named for its dual tRNA and mRNA-like properties. Its role is to liberate the mRNA from a stalled ribosome. Lineage: Bacteria; Bacillati; Actinomycetota; Actinomycetes; Propionibacteriales. RNAcentral also lists the same sequence under 1 other name. The record is from RNAcentral.
GGGGCUGAUCGGUUUCGACUGUGGACGUUGUAAUCCAGGAGAAGCGGGUAGAGGAGCCAACGUUAUCUCUCAAACGAUCGUUGGAAACUAAUAAGUGCCGACUCUAAGCGCACUGACUUCGCCCUCGCCGCCUGAGGCGACUUGCGAAGGGUAGACCCGGGGGCGUUCCCGCUCCGGACCAUCUGCCUUAUUUAGGGAACUUGCUGUAAUCGCCGUGUCGUGAGGUGAUUGCGGGACUUUUUCACGACUGAGCUUGUCGGUGACGUGUUCGUCAGAGCACCGGAGCUAAGAAAAGCGUUCGACGAACUGCACCCGGAGAAGUACUGGAUUAGCGCCGUAGGACCCGGGUUCGAUUCCCGGCAGCUCCACAA